This 514-nucleotide ribosomal RNA is filed under the name uncultured Glomus. RNAcentral's name for it is "SSU rRNA". It matches the Rfam family "Eukaryotic small subunit ribosomal RNA", at positions 569 to 1086 of the family's 1831-position model. Lineage: Eukaryota; Fungi; Glomeromycota; Glomeromycetes; Glomerales; Glomeraceae. The record is from RNAcentral.
AGCAGCCGCGGUAAUUCCAGCUCCAAUAGCGUAUAUUAAAGUUGCUGCAGUUAAAAAGCUCGUAGUUGAAUUUCGGGACCAUCAUGUCGGUCGUGCCUCGGUACGUACUGGCAUUGUUGGUUUCUACCUUCUGACGAACCAUGAUGUCAUUUAUUUGGUGUCGUGGGAAAUCAGGACUGUUACUUUGAAAAAAUUAGAGUGUUUAAAGCAGGCUCACGCUUGAAUACAUUAGCAUGGAAUAAUGAAAUAGGACGUUUGAUUCUAUUUUGUUGGUUUCUAGGAUCGACGUAAUGAUUAAUAGGGAUAGUUGGGGGCAUUAGUAUUCAAUUGUCAGAGGUGAAAUUCUUGGAUUUAUUGAAGACUAACUACUGCGAAAGCAUUUGCCAAGGAUGUUUUCAUUAAUCAAGAACGAAAGUUAGGGGAUCGAAGACGAUCAGAUACCGUCGUAGUCUUAACCAUAAACUAUGCCGACUAGGGAUCGGAUGAUGUUAAUUUUUAAUGACUCAUUCGGACG